AUUGAACGCUGGCGGCAGGCCUAACACAUGCAAGUCGAACGGUAACAGGAAGCAGCUUGCUGCUUCGCUGACGAGUGGCGGACGGGUGAGUAAUGUCUGGGAAACUGCCUGAUGGAGGGGGAUAACUACUGGAAACGGUAGCUAAUACCGCAUAACGUCGCGAGACCAAAGAGGGGGACCUUAGGGCCUCUUGCCAUCGGAUGUGCCCAGAUGGGAUUAGCUAGUAGGUGGGGUAACGGCUCACCUAGGCGACGAUCCCUAGCUGGUCUGAGAGGAUGACCAGCCACACUGGAACUGAGACACGGUCCAGACUCCUACGGGAGGCAGCAGUGGGGAAUAUUGCACAAUGGGCGCAAGCCUGAUGCAGCCAUGCCGCGUGUAUGAAGAAGGCCUUCGGGUUGUAAAGUACUUUCAGCGGGGAGGAAGGGAGUAAAGUUAAUACCUUUGCUCAUUGACGUUACCCGCAGAAGAAGCACCGGCUAACUCCGUG
This 490-nucleotide ribosomal RNA is filed under the name uncultured bacterium. RNAcentral describes it as "partial 16S ribosomal RNA". It matches the Rfam family "Bacterial small subunit ribosomal RNA", at positions 30 to 507 of the family's 1533-position model. The record is from RNAcentral.